This 466-nucleotide ribosomal RNA is filed under the name uncultured bacterium. RNAcentral describes it as "partial 16S ribosomal RNA". It matches the Rfam family "Bacterial small subunit ribosomal RNA", at positions 28 to 507 of the family's 1533-position model. The record is from RNAcentral.
GACGAACGCUGGCGGCGUGCUUAACACAUGCAAGUCGAACGGAAAGGCCCUGCUUGCAGGGUACUCGAGUGGCGAACGGGUGAGUAACACGUGGGUGAUCUGCCCUGCACUUCGGGAUAAGCUUGGGAAACUGGGUCUAAUACCGGAUAGGAGCCAUCUUUAGUGUGGUGGUUGGAAAGUUUUUUCGGUGUAGGAUGAGCUCGCGGCCUAUCAGCUUGUUGGUGGGGUAAUGGCCUACCAAGGCGGCGACGGGUAGCCGGCCUGAGAGGGUGUACGGCCACAUUGGGACUGAGAUACGGCCCAGACUCCUACGGGAGGCAGCAAUGGGGAAUAUUGCACAAUGGGCGCAAGCCUGAUGCAGAGACGCCGCGUGGGGGAUGAAGGCCUUCGGGUUGUAAACUCCUUUCGCUAGGGACGAAGCUUUGUUGUGACGGUACCUAGAUAAGAAGCACCGGCUAACUACGUG